RNAcentral lists this transfer RNA (93 nucleotides) under Pyrus calleryana (callery pear). RNAcentral's name for it is "tRNA-Ser". The record is from RNAcentral. Lineage: Eukaryota; Viridiplantae; Streptophyta; Magnoliopsida; Rosales; Rosaceae.
GAAGGAAUUGGGAGGGGGGUCAUUUCAUUUUUGGAUAAAACCGGUAUAGUUCGAAACAAAGAACUAUCGAGGGUUCGAAUCCCUCUCUCUCCU